This 1573-nucleotide long non-coding RNA is filed under the name Bemisia tabaci. RNAcentral describes it as "lncRNA ENSSWEETPG003006". Lineage: Eukaryota; Metazoa; Arthropoda; Insecta; Hemiptera; Aleyrodidae. The record is from RNAcentral.
UGCUUCAGACCAACCAGAAAAUUGCGAUCCUCGUAAUGCCUGAUGAGGCGCGGGGCAGUAGCCCGAGAGCUUGGUAUCCAUUACUAUGAGACAAGUGUCCUUACCUAUUUUGGUGUCAAUGAAGUUUUUGAAAACGCCAUAAGAGCCGCUCUAAUUGCCCGGCGACAACAGCGCUUCUGGAUGACAAAUUUGAAAGAAAGUUCAACGUCCUAUUUUACAGGCUCCAUAUUGUCCUCCAAAACCGUUGUUACCGGAAAUAUUCGUGCAAGACUCUGUAUUUGAAGAUAACUUAGUUGAGCUUUACAAACAAACAAGCCUACACUGACGUAGUUUUGUCACUGGAUCAGUCGGUUUCACAGCACACACCGUUUUUUAUACUCUCUGCAGCCUCUCCGUCUUUACAUCGGCUAUUACUCUUGAAUGAUAAUGCAGGCAGUGAGGUUGGGGCGCAGUGCCAGCGAAUCAAGUAUGGUUAGUGCAAUCAUGACAGCAGUAAUUUACACUUUAUCAUAUUCCUCCAGAUACUGAAGUGUAGCAACAGACAUAAAAUUUUUUCAAUGAACCUGAGAGUUAAGAGCCCUGCUUUUGGCAUAUUAUUCUAUUUAGCACAGGUUUCAAGUAUAAUAAGAGAAGAUGCAGAAAGCGACUGUAAAAAUGUAAUUUUUCAACUCAAUAGAAACUUUCGGAAACUGGCUUAAAACCUGGAAGGUCGAAAAGCUGUUAUUAUAUUCGAAACUUUAUAGCCAUCUCCCAAUAAUUCAUCUUCAUCCUGUAAAUGUUCAUAUUUUGUGGCCGACAAAUUCACUCUCUUGUGAUUGCUCAUCAAUAUUUUUUUCUUUCUUUCUUUCAGGUUUCAUCAUUUGGAGAGACAACACAAGGCGAUUUCAAUGAAGACACCGAACACCUCAUACGAACAGACAAACAUUCAAAAUUAUGGAAGCAGUUGAAAAGGAGAUCCAGCUGUCAAGUUUUAUCGUCAAGUAGUUCUGCUUCAGCAGAUCAUUGUAAAAAUUUAACAAAGACUUAUCCCACCCAGCCUUUACAUCUAUUAAAAUUCAGCAAUGCGAAGGCUCAGAUCAUGGUGGGCAUGCAGUUACGUCCGUUCAAACUAUCAUAACCUUAAGCAAACUAGUAACUUCGCAAGCCAUGCAGCACUGUCUCCAGUUUCUCUACACGGGCUCUUUCGAUACCCGACUACCAGUCAGCACAUUACAGGUCAGUUUCUUGAAACUUCAUUUUUCAAUAGUUUUCUAUUUUGGUGAUGAUUUGUAGAAUAAAGAACCUUAUAUGCAGACUUUAAUGUUGUGAUGCGGCUCUCUUCUGAGCAUGAGAUACGAUAGAAAGAGAGGGGAGAGAGAAGGUACGAGUGCGCAGGUGCGACUACAUAGAGAGGGGGAAGGGAGAUGCAUUGCGGGCCAGCUUACAAGUGGUGCGGCAGCAGUUUACUCUUGAAAGGACCUGCUGACGAGAGAGAUCUCAGUAUACAUUUCAUUCAUCAUCAUUUUUCGGACAGCCAGCUGAUUUGGGUAGUAGGUUUGUAGAGCCUAAAUCUGCCUUUCAUCGAUAUUUUCCC